CAGAGAAUUCUAACUUAUAAAAAGGAACUGGAAGGUGGAGGGGGCGGGGAAGGACUGAACUGUGAGCCGACACCAAAUCCCUCCAGUUUCCCUGGCUGCCUCAUCUGGGCAGCUCGUGCGGGAUGAGGAGUCAGGGAGCAACUCUGCGGGCGCGGGAGAGUGGAACGCAGAGAGGAGAGAGGACGAGCGGAUCCGGGAUGGAGGGACGGACAGAGGGAGGGAGGUUUUCCGAGCGCGGAGCGUUGUUCCCGAGUGCCUGCCUUUCCUUCUCCUCACUCGGACCCUGGUACUUUCCUUUUCUCCUCUCUGAGGUUUGCAAACCAAACGUCACCAAUCAAUACGAACCCCGGCUCUGGGGUGCGUGUGUGCGUGUGUGUGCGUGUGUGAGCGUGGUUGUUGAUCCUGACCUGCUGGACUUCAAAAAUCUGCCUCUUCUGACUCCCUCCUAGCCUGUAAGUUCAGAAUUACAACCUUCUACAUCUAUGCAAACUUUUAUUUGUCGGAGAAUUCUUUUCUCUAGGAGAAAGAGAAAUUGUCACCAUGUGAACGGCUGAUUUCUGACACAUGGGGCUUUACCCCUCCCCCAGCGUGGGGAAAAAUAUCUCCCGUGGAUGUCUUUAACCUGUGCACAAUCCAUAACUUUGGCAAUGUAUAUGUAGUGUUAUUUCUGCAAGGCAGUUUUCCAGGGUUAGGGGAGGUGGUUGCAUUUUGCUAAAUGGAUCCUUUGUGGUGAGUGCAGAUUUAUGCCCAGUUUUGAUUUAUAAUUAAAUUAGCUUCUAAUUUGCAAUAUGUGCGUCUGUGUUUAAAAUGUAUCUAAUCUGUGAAAUUGAGGACUGGGGCACUUUAAAUGAAAAUCUACCUUUCGCCUCAAGGGUUUCUUUAUGAAGGGAUAGCCGGGAGGGCAGCGUGCAGCAGGAAAGUGAGGCUGUAAUUUCCAUUAGGAGAUGUCAAUCAAUCUUUCUUUUCAAUACAUCAAUUAAUAAAUCCGAUUGGUGCUGCGGGCUGCUCCCCCGCUCCCCGCCCCCCCGUCCCCGAGGCGCUCUUUUUUGGCCGGAUGGGGAAGUGUGAGGGGAAGGCAAACUUUGGCAGGGAAGUCCCCGCAGGCAGAGCCCGACCCGACCCGCCCUCCCCCCUCCCCUUCUCCCCCGCUCCGGCCCUGCGCGGGGCUCCGGGACCGGCUCCAGCCUCGGCGCGGCGCUGGGGGCGGCAGGCGAAGCCGGCGGGACUCCCUCCGUCGGCUCUCGGGGUUUGGCAGAACUAAAUUGACACAACUUGGUGAGAUACGGUCAAUUUUUUUCGCCCCGAUAGUGGGGGUGUGGACACGCGGUUAGAUCUGGGCCCGGGACCCCCCGUCUUAGUUGAUUUAUAUUUAGGCUUCACUUAUUUAAGCGACCCUCCCCCACCGUCCCACCCCACGCAGCUCUAACCCGGGCGAUAGCAUCAUCGGUUUCAUUGGUUAUUUUUCAAUGGAACCGCAACCCCUAGCUUUAAUUUUUCACAAUUAAAAAGCGGCCGGGAUGGCGGGGAACUCCUCCAGCCUGACAGCUCGCCCUAGCUCUCCCUGCUGCUAGCGUGUGCUCCACACCUACAAAUAACCGCGGAAAUGGGGGAAAGAGGGUAUUAUUGCUAUUUUUUUAAAACGGGCAAAUGCAGUAAUGCCUCUAAUUUAGCAAUUACACCGAUUCUCCUUUAUUUUCAAGUGGCGCUGGUCGUUCAGCAGAAUGUCACCGUGGUGGGCAGGCGGGUGGAAGCCCGAGGACAGCCCGGCGCAGGAAUGCCCAGUGCCCACUCGGGGAAAGUUGGCCUGGCAGGGACAGGGCAGGUGUGGGGAAGGGGGACAGCGCCAGGACAGGGAGGCACCGAGGGCCUCCCGUUCGCUCUCUGCUCUUAGAGCUUCGCAGUCAGGAAAACCGGACAAACAAAACUAAUUCAAUGUGUCACCUCUCCCUGACAGAACACACGCAGUAUUUUGUAAAAAUCCAGCUACAGAAAGGGCUGACUUUCCUGAACCCACGACCAAUGUAAAUAAGAUGCUUAGAAGGAGGAGAACAUCCUCAAACUACUCCGUUGUCAUCGUCAUCAUCAUCAUGUCCGUUUGAUUUAAAAACAGCACGAUAGGGAGCACGCUCUCACUGAACGCUGUCUCCUCAGCUUUCUUUUUUUCCUCCCAAUCACACGGCUUUGUACCCUCAGAUUUGCGGGUUACUGCCGCCGGUUUGAGUUGCUCGACACAAGCAGCGUUUUGAGUGUCUCCAGCGAGAGGGGGAACUCUGGGUGAACAGAGGGCUGCGAGCGGGAGCACGGGGGCUACGGGGCUGAACUUCGGGAAGGAAUGAAGUAAAAAGAAGAGAGAGAGAAUGAGAGAGUCUCCCAGGCAGCUCGAUCCCAUUAGCUCCGUCCUUGGGUUGCAUAUUUAUACGGUCUAGGAGGUGAACAGAUGGACUAUCAAUUUAAUUCCAUCUUCAACACCAUCAGAGAUUGAUUUUCUACUCGCUUUUAAUUUUGCCAUAAUUAAUUAGAUCAUUACAACUGUUUUCUAUUGAUCUCCCUAUUUAAACCUCAGAUGCAAAGGGACUUCGGCAGAUCCUUUAAAAACACAGAAGGGAAAAGGAACAGAGGGGUUUGCAAACUUUCUGAAGGUUUUUUUCCAGUUUUGACUUAGAAGAUUUUUAGUGCAGAAUAGCAAAAAAUUGCCUCUGUGGCCUUUUCUUUUAGGAGGCCCUUUUCGUUGCCUUUGUAAUUUUCUUUCAUGUUUGGUGAAUCUUUGUCAUAUUUAUAUAUAGUAUACAGCAUAUAUAAUAGAUUUAAUUGGUUCGAUUAUGAAAACAUAAGCUUGCACAUGUAUAUGCAUAUAUAUAUAUUCACACACAACGUGUUUAAAAUUGAGAUUUACAGAGGUGGUGCACACACAUUUAUAUAUGGGGAAACUAUCGAUUGAAGAGAUGUGGUUUUCUGAAGGGCGAAUAUUUUUAUUUGCCUCCCGUACGUGUCUCUCUGUUUGUGCACUUGAAUCCCUCUCUAGGUGGGGGAUAUUUCACCCUGCGACUCCAUCAGAAAUGACAAAGGAAAACCAGCGCUGUUAGCUCCGGUUCCUAGCCUCGGUUCCCAGCGCUCGCCGCAGCCUUUCUUUUCCAAGCCUCCCCUGCAGCAAACGACUGGCAGCCGGGGCAACAGCUCGGCUCUGUGCUGACAGUCGGUGAGAUUUGUAUUUUAAACCUCUAUGUUCUUUCUCCACCCCCCCCCCCCAAAACAAAAAAAUCCCUUACUUAAAAGCUCUGUUUAUAUACUUAAUUUGAGGGAACCAAACCGCGUAAUUGUGCUUUUACCGCGAGCGGCAGCGCCGAGGAAAACCUCUCCGGCGGGGUUUGUUUGAAGCUUUGUUUGCAAAUCAUAAAAUUGCUGACUGGGAGACGGGGGCGAUCCGGAGACGCGUCCGUCGGCGGAGCAGGUUUGGGGGGCUCGGAGGCAGCCCCCGCUCGGGGGCUCGGCAGCGCCGGCCCCCGCCCGCCUCAGCCCCGCGCUUAGCCCGCAGAGCCCGGCACGGCGCUGGGCUGCCCGCGGGCCCGAGGCGGGACACGCACAUCCAGAGCCUGCACGGCGAGCAAAGUUUCCCGGGGUGGGGAGGCAGUCGGUGGAGGAAGAGUUUAAGCAAUGCCCUGAACUUUCUGCGGACGGGAGGCACCUCCGGGGCUGGGGCAAAUGGACAAAGGCCGGUGCAGGGGGCUGGCUCGGCCGCCCGGGGCGCCUGGAGGGCGGCGAGGCAAAGCGCCCGGGGCCGCUGGCGGUCGGAGCGGCUCGGGAGGGGAGGGAGCGGGGCUCGGCCCGGCGCUCGCUCCGUCUGGGGCUCCGCUGCGGGUCCUUGCCAAGCUGCCGCGGUAAACACCCCAGCCUUUCGAGGGGUGCUGGAGCGCACACCCGUAAGGAAAAGGGGUAUUUUUCAGUGUUUAGGAAAAUGUUAACAACGCGGACUGGCGAAAAGCACACCCCAGACAAGUGGAGAAUUGUAAAAAUAAGGAAGGCGGAGGGAACGCUUUCCUUCAUAUCACUUAAAAAUCAUCGAUUGCCUCUUCAAGCAAAGAAAAGAAAGUUUCAUUUUAAAUAUUAAAAUGGGGCACCAAAAGUCAAUAAUUGCAGCAACGAGUAUUUGCCUCUGACGCCUUCUCCAGCCCGGUCUGCAGCAGCCGCUGGAUCUGUCUGGAGUGGCUCCGCAGCUCCCUGCAGCCCGAGCCCAGCUCGCAGCCGCGCUGAAACGCUUCCUCGCAAACUGGUGCCCCACGAAUGGUUGCAGUGUACCUGUUUGGCUCUACACCAUCUCUAUAUACGUGAAUCUCUGCUCUCUACCCAGCCGACACGUUGGACGCCCACCCUCGCAUUUGCUCCCGAGGGGAGCGCCAAGCAUUAUCCCAACACCUUUCGCUUCUGUGGCGGGAUCCCCGGCGUUUCUUCCCCCCCCGUGAGUACUGCUGUGCGCCUUCAGUGUGCCCUUUCGCUCAGCACUGUUCAGAUGUAUUAAUGCGAGCUGUUAUAACUAUAUCUGCAUGUAUUUCACAAUUAAAACAUUUCUUGGCGAACCAGGAAAACCCGAGGCAGCAGCUGGGAGCGUUGCUUGCCCUGGACGCCUGUUCCUCCUUGCGGCAGUAGCCGUGAGACUGAGACUACGGGGAAAGUGUUCUACGACACAUAUUUUAAUAUCAGUUUCCAUAUUAAUCAAUCACCUCAAACAU
Molecule: long non-coding RNA, 4724 nt
Organism: Passer montanus (Eurasian tree sparrow)
Lineage: Eukaryota; Metazoa; Chordata; Aves; Passeriformes; Passeridae
Exons: 3
Source: RefSeq, a predicted model, not a curated record